RNAcentral lists this ribosomal RNA (353 nucleotides) under uncultured bacterium. RNAcentral describes it as "bacterial SSU rRNA". It matches the Rfam family "Bacterial small subunit ribosomal RNA", at positions 917 to 1288 of the family's 1533-position model. The record is from RNAcentral.
GGACCCGCACAAGUAGUGGAGCAUGUGGUUUAAUUCGAAGAUACGCGCAGAACCUUACCAACACUUGACAUGUUCGUCGCGACUCUAAGAGAUUAGAGUUUUCGGUUCGGCCGGACGAAACACAGGUGCUGCAUGGCUGUCGUCAGCUCGUGUCGUGAGAUGUUGGGUUAAGUCCCGCAACGAGCGCAACCCUCACUUUUAGUUGCCAUCAUUAAGUUGGGCACUCUGAAAGAACUGCCAGUGAUAAGCGGGAGGAAGGUGUGGAUGACGUCAAGUCCUCAUGGCCCUUACGGGUUGGGCUACACACGUGCUACAAUGGCAUCUACAGUGGGUUAAUCCCCCAAAAGAUGUCU